AUGGGCGGAAUGUCUUUCGAUGUGCCUCCUCGCACACAUUCCCAUGAAGAUUCCAUUGAAGAUCUUGCCAACACCGUCGGAGCUUCACGUGAUGCGGUGCGCGAUGAGGAGAGGGAGGAAGAUUCAUCUUCGGAGGCGGAAGAAUCGUCUUCCGAAGAUGAGGACGAGGACGAAGACGAGGACGAGGAAUGA
This 192-nucleotide ribosomal RNA is filed under the name Triticum aestivum (bread wheat). RNAcentral's name for it is "partial small subunit ribosomal RNA". The record is from RNAcentral. Lineage: Eukaryota; Viridiplantae; Streptophyta; Magnoliopsida; Poales; Poaceae.